GCGUCGGUAGUGCAACGGUUCAGCACGCGCUCCAGAAUAGAGAGAAGUGUGGGUUCGAAUCCCAGCUGUUGCA
Molecule: non-coding RNA, 73 nt
Organism: Parelaphostrongylus tenuis
Lineage: Eukaryota; Metazoa; Nematoda; Chromadorea; Rhabditida; Metastrongylidae
Source: the annotation of a GenBank genome assembly